This 414-nucleotide long non-coding RNA is filed under the name Homo sapiens (human). RNAcentral's name for it is "HSALNT0203466". The record is from RNAcentral. Lineage: Eukaryota; Metazoa; Chordata; Mammalia; Primates; Hominidae.
CUGAAAACUUGAAGCCUUUCCUUCAGAAAUAGUACAAAUUGAAAUUGAUUGAAUUUGUUGGUUCCAUAACAAAUGGUCCAGGAGUGGGUUAUCAGUAGCAGGCAAUUGUUUUACAAGGCAUGGGAAGACAUUCUGACCUUUGCAAUUCAAUGGCCUGGGACAGAAGUGGUGACCAUGGGAACUGUUUACAUCACCGUUCGAUGACAUGAGGCACUGAGGAGUAAGAGAGCAACAGUUCUCACUUUCUUCUUUAGUAAACAUAAUUUGGGGGGGUGAAAGGCUUUUUGUAGAAAUCUUUAAAAUGUAUUAUGCAUAUGUGAAUGUACAUGUGAAAUUUAUAAUCUGGGAAAUCUGAGUAUACAGAUUCUUGCAUAAUAUACAUCAGCUAAUUGCAUCUGUUUCCAAUUGUAUGGU